RNAcentral lists this ribosomal RNA (425 nucleotides) under uncultured bacterium. Its description in RNAcentral is "partial 16S ribosomal RNA". It matches the Rfam family "Bacterial small subunit ribosomal RNA", at positions 354 to 796 of the family's 1533-position model. The record is from RNAcentral.
GUAGGGAAUCUUGCGCAAUGGGCGAAAGCCUGACGCAGCCAUGCCGCGUGAAUGAUGAAGGUCUUAGGAUUGUAAAAUUCUUUCACCGGGGACGAUAAUGACGGUACCCGGAGAAGAAGCCCCGGCUAACUUCGUGCCAGCAGCCGCGGUAAUACGAAGGGGGCUAGCGUUGCUCGGAAUUACUGGGCGUAAAGGGAGCGUAGGCGGAUAGUUUAGUCAGAGGUGAAAGCCCAGGGCUCAACCUUGGAAUUGCCUUUGAUACUGGCUAUCUUGAGUAUGGAAGAGGUAUGUGGAACUCCGAGUGUAGAGGUGAAAUUCGUAGAUAUUCGGAAGAACACCAGUGGCGAAGGCGACAUACUGGUCCAUUACUGACGCUGAGGCUCGAAAGCGUGGGGAGCAAACAGGAUUAGAAACCAGUGUAGUCC